CAGAGCUCUGUGAGAAGCAGUCAUCCCGGCUUGAGUCCUUCCACCAAAUAAAACAUAACCCUCAGCUUUUAGGCUGUGCAUUUAUUUCAGUUGACAAUACCCAUAACCAAGAAUUGGACUCAUCAAGGUGCACUACUUGGUGUAAUAUCUGGGGGAGCUAUUUGAGACUUCACCUGUUGUGUGCGUAACAAAGUUAUUCUCUUUUCUGAAUUUACUAUCCCCUCACAUUUUUGCAGAAGUUGCUCUUUACAUUUAAAGGUGACAAUUUGAUGCAUGUAUUUUCCAUGUGUAAAUAUCAGUAAAGCACCUGCGUUUCCUCCUCACUAUCUGGCUCACUUUGACUGCUCUAAAACUUUGUGCCCUGCUUUGGUAACAGUGUUGAAAGGUAGCAGACUGUGCUAUCACAAAAUGUGCCACUUUGACAUACAGAGUAUUUUGAAUUGAAAGCAACUGAGAAGAAAUAGCUACAAAGUUCGCUGCCCUCCCCCAUUUGCCUAAGAGCAAGAUGGAAAUUUACAAAGGAGUCUCUCCUCCUCCCUCAACCAGAAAGGACAGUUUUGUCCCCUGGGGCAAUUGUAGACCCAAUCAGUCUGGAGAAGGCACCAAAGGCAUCUAUAUAAAACACUCUACUAACUGGCCUUUAUCCCUGCCCUUAGAAGACAAAUUGCUUUUCCUUUUCUGUCAUUUCUUCACAAAUAUAGUCUUUUGCUGAAGAUAUGGCCUAAACUGAAAUUCUAAGCCACCAAAGAGAGUUCUCACUUUCCGCUGGGUAUCUCCCAGGUAUGCAUAUAUACUUGUUAAUCAGUAUCUUUGUUUUUCUCUUGUUAACAUGACUUUUAUUGCAGGAGUCUCAGCUAAGAACUCAGAGGGUAAAGGGGGGAUUAUUUUCCUCUUAUAACAUCAUAUCAAAAAUUCUCAAAGGAGUGAAGGGGAGCUCUUGGUUAAUUGUUAUAUUCAAAUCUAGCAUCUCUACUACAUCCCUUGAAAGUGGUAUCUACAAUCUCAACCAUAUUACACACACACACACACACACACACACACAAAACAUGACAAAGAGAAUGUAGUCUUCCUGGUGUUAGAGCUGUAAAAAGGAAUAGACCAUCUGCUGUCAUCAUCUUAGGGCUGAUCUUUGACCAAAAUUUGACCCUGAUUUCUUUGAAACUCUGAUGGUGGGAACAGAAUUGCAAAUCUUCAAGUUUCUGGCUUCAAAAUAAGAAGCUUCGUCAAGGAGGGCGGGAGGAACCACAGAACUCCUCCACUGGAAGAGAGAUGGUAGAGAACACGGACUGGACAACAGGUGCCUCAUAGUGUUAGUCAAAACUGAGUGAGACUGAGUGUUCUGUUCUGUCAAUUGUUCAUCAGAAGCUGAGGGUAAGGGCGUGUGCCCUUUGAGUGGGAAGUGGCAUUUCCUCUGAAACCAGUGAGACUUCCCAGUCAUUUAUAGUGAAAAGAUCAAAUUAAGGGAUAGAAAAUAACAAGGAGAGAAAUGGGCCUCAUCAAGAAUGGAGCUGGAGUAAAUUCUUGAUUUGUCUGCUGGGCAGUACGGCAAUGUGGACUCAGCAUUUCCUGAGGCUGAGAUGUUGGUUCGGAAGGGGGGUGGAGAGGGGCACCCCAGUGCACUGGGCUGUGCCAACCACAAGUGCAGCAGCACAGACUAAGGGUCAUGGUGGGCUGAGGAGGGGGAGAGGGUGGGAACUUGAGUGAGUCCUCUGUGCUUCCACUAGAGGGCUCUUUGAGGGCUCUGGGAAGCACUGAAGGAUGCUUUGGGGAGAAGUUCUGGUCCUACAUUGAGUAAAAUUUGGCAUUUAAAAGAAAUGUCAUCUCAUUUUAUAGUUACAGGCUGAAAGGUCUGGAAAUAGUGAGCAACUAUCCUAUACCAUAAAAUUGCUGUUUGUUUUCUGACAUGACAAAAUAAAAGUUCCAAGAGAGGAGAGAUUUCUCUAGAUUUUGUUUGCUCACAUAAAUUGAGCUUAGCCCUGUGUCUGGUACAAUAUGAGGCUCAAUGAAUAUUGUUGAAUAUAUAUCAUUUAAUCUCAUCCUUACAAUAACUCUGAAAAGAGC
This is a non-coding RNA of Vicugna pacos (alpaca), 2061 nucleotides long. The record is from RefSeq and is a predicted model, not a curated record. NCBI's taxonomy places the organism in Eukaryota, Metazoa, Chordata, Mammalia, Artiodactyla, Camelidae.